Molecule: transfer RNA, 76 nt
Filed under: Verrucomicrobiales bacterium
Lineage: Bacteria; Pseudomonadati; Verrucomicrobiota; Verrucomicrobiia; Verrucomicrobiales
Description: tRNA-Lys
Rfam family: tRNA
About the family: Transfer RNA (tRNA) molecules are approximately 80 nucleotides in length. Their secondary structure includes four short double-helical elements and three loops (D, anti-codon, and T loops). Further hydrogen bonds mediate the characteristic L-shaped molecular structure. tRNAs have two regions of fundamental functional importance: the anti-codon, which is responsible for specific mRNA codon recognition, and the 3' end, to which the tRNAs corresponding amino acid is attached (by aminoacyl-tRNA synthetases). tRNAs cope with the degeneracy of the genetic code in two manners: having more than one tRNA (with a specific anti-codon) for a particular amino acid; and 'wobble' base-pairing, i.e. permitting non-standard base-pairing at the 3rd anti-codon position.
Source: RNAcentral
GGGUUGGUAGCUCAGUUGGUAGAGCAGUGCCCUUUUAAGGCAUUGGUCGUGGGUUCGAGUCCCACCCAACCCACCA